UUCAGUGAUCUAUAUGACUAUAUUGCAGAAAUGUUCAGAUGACUAUGUUGCACCAAUAUUCGGUGAUCUGUACUAUUCAAUACAACAAAAUAUCAGUUAACUAUGAAGAACAACUUAGUUAUCUACUUUACAUACACUGCACACAGUCCUACAUCUCUAAUGCAUUGCACUUGCACACACUCAGCACAUAUAUCAGUUCAGUGCAGCGCACACAUUCAGUACAUCACCUAUCAUGAAAAUUCAGUUAACUAUACAAUCAGGUGUCACCAAAAUUCAGUUAACUUCAUCUGUACCCAAAAUUCAGUUACAAAUCUUUCUAAUUUUUCAGUUCGAACAAUCUCCAGAUUUGAGCAGAAAUGACGAACAAGGCAAAUGAUCACAUCUGAGCAAUAUUAUAGGAUAAUUUGUUGCGCACACAAGCAUAACCAACUACUUUGACAGGAAGAGGCGCCUACUUCCAAAACCCCCAAAUAAACCCUAGCAAAACUCAGGAACAAUGUGCCCAUAUCUACUCCGCAACAGUCCACAUACACAAUAUCUCGCAUGACAUGGACGAAAGAUGAAGAUCAAGCACGCCAGAAAAUUACUCUCACUCCGGCAAACCCUACACGAUGUCAUGGACGAGGAAGAGAUACUCAUCAUGCAUGAAAACAGGGAGGGUGUGAGUUACCAUACGAAGGAGUUGCUUCGUCUGUAAGACGACGACGCGGGUCGUCCAUCGCCUCCGACGCCGAUUGCGGUGCCACAGGACCUCCGCCAUCGCAGCCUCGGAUUGAUCGCGAAUCGUGCGAAAGAGAAAGCAGAGACGAGGAAACAAAGCGGCGGGGAGUUAGAAUGAAAGGCCACAGCCUUCGAGGUACCUAUGCGCAAACAUAACACACAAUCACUUCUCGCUGUUGGAGGGACUUCUUGGGAUAAUUAAUUGAAUCCCAAGUGGUUUUAUACAAAAUAACCACAACACCCAGCUUUGCCCACGCUCACACCCACUGACAUGUGGGACAUACGCCAGCUUUCAAGCCACCCACGCGGCGGCGUACGAGCGAAGGCACCGUAUAUACACCAUUUGGACAAGUUAUGGCACCACUUUUACAUAUUUUGCAACUUGAGGCACUAAACUGAACGCGCCGAACAAGUUUAGGCACUUGUGGUGUAUUUACCUCUAGAUAAAACAAUACCAUGCAUGUCGAAUUAUCGGUCCAGCACAUUCUUUUUCAAUCCCAUCCAGCAAAGCCAUUGAUCAUGGUUGCAAGAAAUAAUACUAGGUACAGACAAAAAAUAUAUAUAUAAUGAAAUAGAUGGUUGUCGAUAGAAUGCAGUAUCAUAAAUAUCUGAGUAGACAAGCAUGCUAAGGAAUAACUGAUUUAAGCUGCGCCACCCUCUCCAUUCAUUGUCUCAUCUAGAACUCCUGCUUUUUGGCGUUUUGCUCUUCACUCUUCAGGCUGUACCUACAAUUUUCAAAGAGAAGUGUAAGCAUGAUUUCCUCUUGCUAUUCAUUUCAUCUGAUCUCUUUGUGGAUCCAAAGCAGACACCAGAUAGUGAUUGGUAUGGCGGCAGAAACUAAGCAAGAAAUAGCAAGCCCAAGUGCAUAUGAAGUGUUAUGUGGUAAGGGUGCUUAUUAUUAUGACAACCAAAAAUAAAGUCAAAACCACUGUCAUAGGCUCCUAGCACACCGACAGUGAGAAUUUUUUGAAGGGGUAGCCUCGCAGUAAGAUGCAAGAAAAUAGAUUAUUUUCAGAGCUCCCUCCUCACUCACUCAAGAAAAUAGUCUACAAUAUGGACUCCCUGCAUGUUUGGGGGAAGCAGGAUAGAUAUGAUGUCACUGUAGCUGGACGCUGGCCAACAAGUAGUAGCACUACACCUUACUCUCCCUUCUACAUAUGUCUCUUCUGCACCUCCUGCCUUAGCCUUGGAAGCAGCACUUAACAAGAUUUGAACCAAAUGCUCCUUUAGCCUUCGCAAUUUCAGUGAGAAAUUUCUACUUCUGAUUGUGUUCUUGCAUAAUUAGCUAGAGUGUGGACUAGCCAAUUCUUUGGUUCUUUGCAAAUUAUUAUGAGGGCUGUAUCUAGCUAGGUCUACAUGAAAAUUUUGAUCUACUUGUGAUGGUGUUGUUCGAUUAGCUAAUUUCAGAGAUUCUUUGUGUGACGAGUACCAGAAUCGAUGCACUCUAGCUAGCUGCAGCAGUACUAGAAUCAAUGCACCAAUGUAAAAAAAGCUACCCCCUCCAUCCCUAACUACAUGGCGCCCUCGUUUUCCAUGACUAAACUUUGACCGUAACUUUAACCCAUUAUAUAUUAAGUAUCUAUGUCAUAAAAAGUAUAGCACUGGAAACUACAUAUUAAUACGAAUUUAACAGUAUAAUCUUUGUGACAUUAUAGCCUAUGUUUUGUUGGUCAAAUAUCUGCAUGCCAAGUAAAUAGAGACGGAGGGAGUAAACCACAUAACCAAAGGAACAAAGGUGGACAAGUGUGGUUCCUGACUAAUCAAAAAUCAAGAUGCAAACAGAUAAUUAACUGCAAGUUCCUCCGAAAACAUAGCAUAUAUUUUUCACACGCAGCUACACGACAUAAUUAGCAUUUCCAUCAAUGCAGAACAUGGUACCUGAUGAUAGUCUAUCUAUGACACAACUACAAACGUCUCCAGGACCUAGUUCACGCAGUCUUUCAUUUUCCUAUAAGCCCUUAAUAGCCUAUUUGGAGAUGAUAAGCACCAAGCCAUCUCCUCCAUGUAAUGAUUUGUUAAAAGUGUUUUCUAUUUAUGCUCAAACUCUAAAAAAGUCAAAACCUAACCUUCCAUCUGUCCAAUCAAUCAACAUCCUGACACGAAAAUUCCAGCCACCGAAUACAAAAGAAAUGGAAAUCAGUAGCAAUGCCUAAUAAAACCUGAUCCACAGAGGAGCUCAGGAUAGAGCCCCAUAACAAACCAUGCUACAUGAGUGUACUCGCAGCCUAAACCCUAGCUCAAAGCGUCACAAAGCAAGCUUCGGUCGAUUGAAGGAGAGAGAUGUCAAAAUCGAACAGAAACAAAUAGGAGGGAGAGAUAGGGGAAUCAUACCAUCGCUGAAGCUGGCGCCUUGGCAUUUCCUGCUGAUGCCCGUACUUCUUCAAAAAACUUCUCGAGUGUCUGCAAACAAAGAGAACCACAAUGUGAAAUUGAGAAAUAUAUUUGUAUUAGAAAUAAAUAAGGGUAAGUGUAAACAAUGUUAUUCGUAUUACAUACCUUAGUUUUGUAUAUCCUCAUCAGAUUCUGUUUUAUUUGGGUCACAGUGAGAGCAAUGGAUGGGCCUUGUAUGUUCAGAAUACAUAGGCCGACAAGUUUACCCUUUCCAGAAAAAACAGGUGCACCUUGGCCAGUGUGCAAGCUUUGAGCACAAUUAUGGACAAAAUUGACUUCCUCUGUAUCC
This 3400-nucleotide long non-coding RNA is filed under the name Triticum aestivum (bread wheat). RNAcentral's name for it is "long non-coding RNA (TAES_LNC003818)". Lineage: Eukaryota; Viridiplantae; Streptophyta; Magnoliopsida; Poales; Poaceae. The record is from RNAcentral.